GACGAACGCUGGCGGCGUGCUUAACACAUGCAAGUCGAACGGUGACGGAGGAGCUUGCUCUUCCUGAUCAGUGGCGAACGGGUGAGUAACACGUGGGCAACCUGCCCCUGACUUUGGGAUAACGCCUCGAAAGAGGUGCUAAUACCGGAUAUGAGCCUCCUUUGCAUCUGGGGGGCUGGAAAGUUUUUCGGUCAGGGAUGGGCCCGGGGCCUAUCAGCUUGUGGGUGAGGUAACGGCUCACCAAGGCGACGACGGGUAGCCGGCCUGAGAGGGCGACCGGCCACACUGGGACUGAGACACGGCCCAGACUCCUACGGGAGGCGGCAGUGGGGAAUAUUGCGCAAUGGGCGGAAGCCUGACGCAGCAACGCCGCGUGAGGGAUGACGGCCUUCGGGUUGUAAACCUCUUUCAGCAGGGAAGAAGCGAAAGUGACGGUACCUGCAGAAGAAGCACCGGCUAACUACGUGCCAGCAGCCGCAGUAA
RNAcentral lists this ribosomal RNA (483 nucleotides) under uncultured bacterium. RNAcentral's name for it is "partial 16S ribosomal RNA". It matches the Rfam family "Bacterial small subunit ribosomal RNA", at positions 28 to 523 of the family's 1533-position model. The record is from RNAcentral.